RNAcentral lists this ribosomal RNA (553 nucleotides) under Fusarium redolens. Its description in RNAcentral is "eukaryotic LSU rRNA". The stretch from base 189 to 342 matches the Rfam family "5.8S ribosomal RNA". Lineage: Eukaryota; Fungi; Ascomycota; Sordariomycetes; Hypocreales; Nectriaceae. The record is from RNAcentral.
AACAAGGUCUCCGUUGGUGAACCAGCGGAGGGAUCAUUACCGAGUUUACAACUCCCAAACCCCUGUGAACAUACCUUACUGUUGCCUCGGCGGAUCAGCCCGCUCCCGGUAAAACGGGACGGCCCGCCAGAGGACCCCUAAACUCUGUUUCUAUAUGUAACUUCUGAGUAAAACCAUAAAUAAAUCAAAACUUUCAACAACGGAUCUCUUGGUUCUGGCAUCGAUGAAGAACGCAGCAAAAUGCGAUAAGUAAUGUGAAUUGCAGAAUUCAGUGAAUCAUCGAAUCUUUGAACGCACAUUGCGCCCGCCAGUAUUCUGGCGGGCAUGCCUGUUCGAGCGUCAUUUCAACCCUCAAGCCCUCGGGUUUGGUGUUGGGGAUCGGCGAGCCUUUCUGGCAAGCCGGCCCCGAAAUCUAGUGGCGGUCUCGCUGCAGCCUCCAUUGCGUAGUAGUAAAACCCUCGCAACUGGAACGCGGCGCGGCCAAGCCGUUAAACCCCCAACUUCUGAAUGUUGACCUCGGAUCAGGUAGGAAUACCCGCUGAACUUAAGCAUA